CCUACGGGAGGCAGCAGUGGGGAAUAUUGGGCAAUGGGCGCAAGCCUGACCCAGCAACGCCGCGUGAAGGAAGCAGGCUUUCGGGUUGUAAACUUCUUGGAAGAGGGAAGAGCAGAAGACGGUACCACUUGAAUAAGCCACGGCUAACUACGUGACAGCAGCCGCGGUAAUACGUAGGUGGCAAGCGUUGUCCGGAUUUACUGGGGGUAAAGGGCGUGCAGCCGGGAAGACAAGUCAGAUGUGAAAUCCCGCGGCUCAACCGCGGAUCUGCAUUUGAAACUGUUUUUCUUGAGUACCGGAGAGGUCAUCGUAAUUCCUUGUGUAGCGGUGACAUGCGUAGAUAUAAGGAAGAACACCAGUGGCGAAGGCGGAUGACUGGACGGCAACUGACGGUGAGGCGCGAAAGCGUGGGGAGCAAACAGGAUUAGAUACCCCAGUAGUC
This 442-nucleotide ribosomal RNA is filed under the name uncultured bacterium. Its description in RNAcentral is "partial 16S ribosomal RNA". It matches the Rfam family "Bacterial small subunit ribosomal RNA", at positions 338 to 795 of the family's 1533-position model. The record is from RNAcentral.